This 256-nucleotide long non-coding RNA is filed under the name Medicago truncatula (barrel medic). Its description in RNAcentral is "long non-coding RNA (MTRU_LNC001907)". The record is from RNAcentral. Lineage: Eukaryota; Viridiplantae; Streptophyta; Magnoliopsida; Fabales; Fabaceae.
CAAGUUGUCAUCCCCCUGUUGGAGGUUUAUCACAUCCCUCUGUGUUGUCCAAGCCAAAACCUGAUACAGUCAACAGCAUGCAUCCCUCUGUGCUGUCCAAGCCAAAACCUGAUACAGUCAACAGCGCACUUGCCUUUUCUACUGCUGUUACGGGGACAAUUCAGGCUUCUGCAGCACAAUGUGAUGGUUCAAGGAGGCCACUAUUGAAUGAUGAGAGUCGUAAUACAAUACCAAGGGUGAAAAGUGAAAUGCCGAA